UCUACCCAUUCACGCAUAACAGAAUACUUACUACACUACUCAACCCCUACACCACACUCCGCCAAAAUGCCGGUCAAGCGCAGCCGCGCCGGGAGAUCCUCGGCCUGCCUCGACGCCGCUCCGGGGAAGCUCACCAAAUCAGACGCCUCCGCCGACGCGGCGCCCCCGAAGCUGCUCCACGUUGCUUCUCCGGUGAAUACCCCCGAAUGUGCCGCUGAUCGGACCAAAAUUGGAGGUUUCCUGGAGCGGUGCCACUAUUGCAACAAGCGGAUUGCUCAGAAUUCUGAUGUUUUUAUGUACAGCAACCUAUGUGCUUUCUGCUCUGUCGAAUGCCGUGAGUGUCAGAUUAAUCUCGACAAAUUGGCUGGGAAAAAGCCACAACAUUAGCAAAAGAAGUUGUUUGAAGGGCAUAACUGAAGUCGAAUGCUGAUCGUAUAUCACAUAUCAAAUACUACUACAAAUAUAGAUGCAGGCUGUUGGUUUUUGAGGAACAGUUUGUGCUUCUGCAUAUAAGAUAGAAACAGUAUACAUCAUGUUGAUAGUAGUUCUUAACUACACUACACUUAUAGUUCCAGUUCUUUUGCUUCUGUUGAUAUCAUAUUAUGAAAAUUUCUCUUUUUUUUAUUGCUUUUUAGAAUAUUAGAUCCAACUGUUUAUGCUCUUUACAUGUUCCUUUUUUAAUGUACAAAGGAUAUCCCCAUAAUGAAUUCGUUUAAGAUAAUAACUACUGUGUCAAUGGCAUCCGAAUCAUUUGCUAAGACAACGAGAGUUAAGAGAAGGAAACUUCAUAAUGCUCUGUCUUGAGAUAGAUAGCUUGGCAGUAGAAUCGGUAAAUUGCAGUUACCUAAAAAAGUUAUUUCUUGCAGAUGAUUGUAAUUUGCUUACAUGUGAUAUUAUAUGCAAGAAGAUACAAAGAUUAGAUGCAUCUGUCUAGCACUUGAAGUAUUUUACUGUUAUAGGAGUAAUUAAGAAGUAUUUUACUGUUAUAAUUUGUCCAAUUUCUUUCUCAACUAUGCUCUUUCUUAUAUUCUAUGUUACAUUGAAAUUGUGCCAUGAUUCCUGUCCUUCUUCUCUCCUUUCUUAGUUUCCUGAAGAAGACCUUUUUAUCUUCUACAAGUUCUCGAAAUUGUAUUCAUGAUUUUUCUGUUCAUCUGCGCGUUGAAUGUUUUCAAUCUGCUUUGUUGUUCAAUGCUCUGUUUUGAUGCCAUCCAUACUUCUAGGAAACCUAGCUCCUGAUUCAGAUUUCAUCACGAAUUCACGAUUCUCCUCUUCCUAUCAGACAUUUUAAACUGAAUCCUGAAAAGUGUUGGUUAUAAAAUAUGAACUUCAUUGAGUUAUGUUGAGAACUGGCCUAACUGGAUGGAAGAUCCUUUGACAUGUAUCAUCAAUGCAGCUCUGCUAGUUUGCUUUCUAGUCCUGUGUUAACUUGACGAAGGAUAAUUCCACAUGUGAUGGGCGUAAUUUUGGUUCAGAUUCUGCUUGUGUUCCACAUUGUAGUAUGAAGCAUGACACGAGGGCUUCCACCUCGAUGAUCUAUGUUCGUCUCUUAUUAUGAUCACCGUAAGUAUAAUUAUCUCUUCGAUUGUGUAGAUGACCAGGAGCCUAAUUUUCACCAGCCCUUCUUAGCUUGAAAAAAAUAAAUGGGCUUUCAGAAUUUAUUUCUGGCUUGUUUUGUGCAGUGCUUUUCUGUUGAUAAUUUGCUUCAAGUUCACCAAUUAUUAGUGUCAUUUUGUUGUUACUACUUUUCCCAGAACUUAGCAGACUCUCGUGCAACUUGUUGAACAGACUGCUGUUGAAACUUGUUUGUUUUUUUGCAGGUUUUGCUGUCAUAAGCUCAUGCUCAACUGCAGACUGCACAAGGUCUAAAGUGAUUGAGCUGUGGCAUAUACGUGGUGUCAUCAUCAAAUUAAUGUGGGCAUAAAGCUAUGGACCAUUGAAUCUUUCUGAUGUGAGAGAGCAGUUUCAGGUUCACCCAUUUAACACGUAACUCAAUUUCAUCACCAUGAGAUCUUGAUUUUUGAUAGUCCAUUAAUGAAAAUAAUUGAGUUUUUGUUUUGAUUUGUCAUUUCAUAAUUAUUGCCUUUGUAUAUCUCAGUCAACGUCCGGGCAUCUUAUAAUUCGUACUACUACCAUUUUCUGUUUUGAGUUUGGUAUUCGUAAUUAAUUUCUUAAGCUGAUGAUGCGUGAUUAAUAAGAAUAUACUGAUGUGAUGGGAUUUGCAAAAUGUUGGGAUAAAAUGUCUAAACUCUAAACUGAGGGGAGUAAUAGUAUUGGAUUUUUAUCAGUCAAAAUCAAAUACUUCUCCUGGAUAAUAGUAUUUGUAAUUUAUUACUCCAUGUCAUUUUCUGCAUUAUCUAGGGAAUUGUUUUGUGUACGUCAUUUUCUAGUCGAUUUAGGAAUUCGUGAUGUAAGUUUUGUUUUGUCUUAUACUUUUAACUUUUUUAGCAAGUCACGGUACUUCAGAUAGAUUCCACAUUAAAAAUAAUGUAAAAACUAAAUAUGUUGAAGAUUAUAAAUACUGAAAAUUAAAUUAGUACUAGUACUAAAUUAACAGGGACUAAGCAGUCUUUAAAGUUGGGCAAAGUUUUGGGAUGAAAUUAUAGAUGGAUAUAUUAAUUUCUCAAGGGAUUUUCAUUUGGGACGAAGGUAAUGUUAUAUAGAGUUAAUUUUAUGUGAUAUAUGUGGUUUGAAUAGUAAAAAAAACAUUUCUUUAUUUUCAUAAAAUUUAUGAGCAGUUGUAGCAAAAGAUCCAGAUGAGCCAUGGAAUUGAAGAGACGGACAUGAUAACAUAAAAUAAUCCAAAAUAGGAUAAGUGGAGGGACCAUAAACACAUUAAUGUGUUGCUUAAUUAGGCAUGAUACCACACAUGGGGAGGUAUGUACAUCCACUCACUAUUCAUUUAAUUAUUCUCUUUAUAUACACUAUUUGUUUAUUUAUACAUUUCAAAUCUCACUAUAUCUUUCUAUAGAUACCAAGAUGUUGAUUUUGCUAAAUCUGUUUGUAAUAAUGGAGUGCCCAUUUCAGUUGGAAGAAGCUCGGCUAGAAAGGAGUUCGGUAAGCUCGGCUUACCGAGCUGGAACUAGCCUGGUACUAGCCGAGGAGAAG
This is a long non-coding RNA of Salvia splendens (bonfire salvia), 3105 nucleotides long. RefSeq lists it as uncharacterized. NCBI's taxonomy places the organism in Eukaryota, Viridiplantae, Streptophyta, Magnoliopsida, Lamiales, Lamiaceae. The transcript has 3 exons. The record is from RefSeq and is a predicted model, not a curated record.